CCCAAAACGCAGGGGAGCCGCGCUGGCUGAGAGUUCCGGAUUUACCGGGAGACCCUUGGAACCUGAUCCGGGUAAGUCCGGCGAAGGGAGCGACCGGCGGCUCUGC
This 106-nucleotide non-coding RNA is filed under the name Terrimicrobium sacchariphilum. RNAcentral's name for it is "TPP sequence". It matches the Rfam family "TPP riboswitch aptamer (THI element)". Rfam says of the family: Vitamin B(1) in its active form thiamin pyrophosphate (TPP) is an essential coenzyme that is synthesised by coupling of pyrimidine and thiazole moieties in bacteria. The record is from RNAcentral. Lineage: Bacteria; Pseudomonadati; Verrucomicrobiota; Terrimicrobiia; Terrimicrobiales; Terrimicrobiaceae.